Molecule: long non-coding RNA, 417 nt
Organism: Rhinichthys klamathensis goyatoka
Lineage: Eukaryota; Metazoa; Chordata; Actinopteri; Cypriniformes; Leuciscidae
Exons: 3
Source: RefSeq, a predicted model, not a curated record
CUUACAAAACGAUAUCCUGAGCAAGAUAUGACACUGGUAUGUAAACACCCAGUUUCUGUUAAUGGUAACAUGAGUUGGACAGUGAAUGAACAAGUUAUACAACAGAACGGAAAAUACUCCAUUUCACAAGAUCGUAGCAGUCUCACUGUGAAAAAAGUUGAUGAGAAAGACAAAGGUAGAUACGCAUGUAUCAUUAAAAGGGAAAUAAAUUACAUUCUGUGGGAAGAUAUAGUUAUUGAACCACUUCCCAAUAUCCAAGUGGGUCAAAACAAAAGACAGUUUCAGUGUAAGGAUCAGACUGUGGAACUGACAUGCUGCGAUGCAAAAUAUGCUGUGGAGUGGGAUACUCGUGAAGAUCAAGAGACAUCUCCAGACGAGAGAUGCGCCACACUAAAACAUCGAAUCAAUUGCACAGAU